UACGUAGGGUGCAAGCGUUGUCCGGAAUUAUUGGGCGUAAAGAGCUUGUAGGCGGUUUGUCGCGUCUGCUGUGAAAUUUCGGGGCUCAACCCCGAACUUGCAGUGGGUACGGGCAGACUAGAGUGUGGUAGGGGAGACUGGAAUUCCUGGUGUAGCGGUGAAAUGCGCAGAUAUCAGGAGGAACACCGAUGGCGAAGGCAGGUCUCUGGGCAUUAACUGACGCUGAGGAGCGGAAGCAUGGGGAGCGAUCCGG
RNAcentral lists this ribosomal RNA (253 nucleotides) under uncultured bacterium. Its description in RNAcentral is "partial 16S ribosomal RNA". It matches the Rfam family "Bacterial small subunit ribosomal RNA", at positions 524 to 776 of the family's 1533-position model. The record is from RNAcentral.